ACAAGUACCGUGAGGGAAAGUUGCAAAGCACUUUGAAGAGAGAGUUAAAGAGGACGUGAAACCGAUGAGAUCGAAACGGAUAGAGUCAGCGUAUCUGACCUGUAUUCAGUCACACAUCUGUCAGUCGUCAUGUGUUGAUUUCCAGACUGGGACAGUGUGUGGCUAGCUGAUUGUUGUGUGGUGCAUUUGCAGGUGGAGUGCGUCGAGACGCUCGGUGUGGCGACAUGAGCUCAGUUUUGAGGCCAGCUUGCUGGUACCCGAAUUGGAGGAAUGUUGUUCACGCUGAGUGGAAUUGGCAAGGCCUACGAGUCCGGUUGGGCAUCGAGCUGGCAGUCGGCGUCGGUCGCAUGCGACACGUGCUGUGCAGUCAGUUCGGUCCUAGUCGAGCUCACAAGCCUAUUCUCGGCGUAAAAGCUGGUCAUCUAUCCGACCCGUCUUGAAACACGGACCAAGGAGUUUAUCGUGUGCGCAAGUCAUUGGGCGUUGAAAACCCAAAGGCGCAAUGAAAGUGAACGCAUCCGCAAGGAGCUGACGUGCGAUCCCGGGUACUGCGGUGCCCGAGCGCAGCAUGGCCCCAUCCCGAUUGCUUGCAAUGGGGUGGAGGAAGAGCGUACGCGGUGAGACCCGAAAGAUGGUGAACUAUUCCUGAGCAGGAUGAAGCCAGAGGAAACUCUGGUGGAAGUCUCGAAGCGAUUCUGACGAGCAAAUCGAUCGACUGACUUGGGUAUAGGGGCGAAAGACUAAUCGAACCAUCUAGUAGCUGGUUCCUUCCGA
Molecule: ribosomal RNA, 774 nt
Filed under: Pratylenchus vulnus (walnut meadow nematode)
Lineage: Eukaryota; Metazoa; Nematoda; Chromadorea; Rhabditida; Pratylenchidae
Description: eukaryotic LSU rRNA
Rfam family: Eukaryotic large subunit ribosomal RNA
Source: RNAcentral